This is a non-coding RNA of Podarcis lilfordi (Lilford's wall lizard), 4091 nucleotides long. The record is from the annotation of a GenBank genome assembly. NCBI's taxonomy places the organism in Eukaryota, Metazoa, Chordata, Lepidosauria, Squamata, Lacertidae.
AAGAGUUAGAAGAACUUCAUAAGUCUCUAAUUAUGGUGCCUUUGUGAACUUUCUCUGGUGUCCACAAAGCCUCUAAGCCCAGGGGUGCCAACUUGAAUAAAAUAUUGGAGGGGGAGGUAAGCCCUGCCUCAUAUGCACAGCAUUUGAAUGGCAAUGCCCAUCACCUUGAGGGAACUGGCCCCCUCAAAUAUUUUAGGGGGGGGGGGCUGAAGGGACCUUGACCCCUAGGAUUUGGCUCCUAUACCUGAGCCUCCAAUCUGCUCUGUAAAGCCACCUCUGCGGGUGUUAUGCUAGUGUCAGAUACAUAAUACGAACUGCUGCUUUUUCUGUGUGCAUAUCAUUCAAUGGCAAGCAUGACUCUAGAGGUCAAGCUAUGACGACAGUGGGGUGUUCAAAUCCCAAUAUAUUCUGCUUCAGCUAUCAAGCCAAUAAGUGUUGUGAAAAACAACCGGCAAUAAAAUUCAGGGCCGUUUCCUUAGCUGUUUUUGCUCUGUAAAAGUACAGUUCUAUUUAAACACGAAAGUCAGCAGUUGCAACUCUGAAUGCAGGCGGAAUGGGUCUGUUAUAUAAGGAAGUGUCAUUUCUGCAGUGAUGUUUUGUUGUUUUUGCAGAGUAGAGGUGUGCUUUAAUUUCUCACCACCCAGGGACAGCAAAAUGUUUAUGUAAAAGGACUUCUACUUCCUCCCCUGCUUUAUAAUAACUGCUUGCCUGUAGCUCCAUAGGGAAGCUAGAGAUUGGUUCUAACCGGGGUGGGGAUAAUGCUCCAGAUUUAAUCCUGACCAUAAGAAGGUAGAUCGCAAGGUGUAUGGUUGCAGAAUGUGUUUUCCUGAGAUAAGAAACACAAACCAUUUGGUAAUCUGAAACAUUCAAGGCUCAGCUUGGUGAGCUGAAGAAAUGCAGAUGGAAACAUGUCCAAAGAUUCGCCUUACAGUGGACACUGACUUAAAUGUCUUUUAGAAUACAAGGUUAUUGUCAUUUUUCAUUAAUGAACCCUCUGUGGACCCAAGCCUAGACUGAGUAUAGAAGCAGGAGCAUCGGAACAAUGAAAAAUACACAAUAAAGUAUUAUUAAUAUAUACAGUAAUAUAUUUAUUAUUUUGAAGUAAGACUCAGAAUAAGCAAUUUUCCUGUGUGCCUUGGAUACAUCUAUUUAUGCCUGUGUUUAUUUCUUUAUUUUCUGACAUUUGUACCCAACCUUUCUUCCAUCAUGAACCCCAAGACACCAUAUAUAUUAUUUAUAUCGAUAGCUCAUUUUUUCCAAAGAAUGUAUCCUGUGCUAUUCAGAGACAUUAAAAACUGAUAUAAAAGCAACCUAAAAUACAAUAAUAUGCAUAAAAGAGCAAUUCCAACUCAAAUUCACUGCACUAAAAUAAUAUGUGGAGAGUUAAGCUACAAAGGCAUGGCUGAAUAAAAAUGUUUUUACCUGGCACUUAAAAGCAGAUAAGGGCAGAUGGAGCAAAGCAGAGCCGGCUCAAGACAUUUUGACACCUGAAGCCAGUCACAAAAUGGCGCCUCCCCAGCCAGGGAAGAUGGGGUGAUCUACAUCAGGAACAAGAGAGAGAGAGAGAGAGAGAGAUCUGCAUAAGGAACAAAUGGGAAGGGAAGAUCUACAUCGGGAACAAGAGGGAGAAUCGAAGCAACCUUACCUGAUGGUUUAAGUGAGAAUCAAAUUCUGUUGGGAUGGGGCGAAUGCUCUGAAUCACGCUGGAUGUAUGCAAAGCCCAGGAGACUCCAGAGGGCAGACCCUGCCAUUUCUUCCCUAGGGGUUAGAGUGCCUCUCCAGGGUCUGGCUAUGAUGUUUCUGGUAUUCACCAGGACACUGCUGUAGAAGCUGCGUUGUAGGGGCUGCUGAGGAGAUAGCAGAUCCUGCUGUGGCAGCAGCAGCAGCGGGUGAUGCAUUCCUUGGAGGCCAAAUAAUAAUAAUAAUAAAUAAUAAUUUAUUAUUUGUACCCCGCCCAUCUGGCUGGGUUUCCCCAGCCACUCUAGGCAGCUUCCAACAAAGACCAAAAAUACACUAAAAUGUCACACAUUAAAAUCUUCCCUGAACAGGACUGCCUUCAGAUGUCUUCUGAAUGUCAGGUAGUUGUUUAUGUCUUUGACAUCUGAUGGGAGGGCGUUCCACAGGGCGGGUGCCACUACCGAGAAGGCCCUCUGCCUGGUUCCCUGUAGCUUUGCUUCUUGCAAUGAGGGAACCGCCAGAAUGCCCUCAGCGCUGGACCUCAGUGUCCGGGCAGAACGAUGGUGGUGGAGACGCUCCUUCAGGUAUACUGGGCCGAGGCCGAGGAUCUGCUGCUCCUAUGGAUCCUGCCACCUGAGGCAUUGCUACACCUUGCCUCAUGGGUGGGCUGGCUCUGGAGCAGAACAUUCUUCAAAUGGGCAGUCACCCUCCACACCUUCCUCAGAGUCAGGGCUUUUUUUCCAGCCAGAACUCCCUUCCAUCACCUCUCAGAUGGGUGCCUUUGCCAUUAUAAGAGAACAUGGUGAGUUCUGGUGCUUCUUUAAGCUAUUUUUCUAUAAAAAGAAGAAAAAAGAGGACAUACACAGAGUAGGGCCUCAGAUAUGAACAAAGGGUACCAGGAGUUGCUCCAAAAUCGAACUCCAACUCUUUUGGACAGCAAUCAUAUAAGAAAUAUGCAAAAUAACUAAAGUAUUAGAAGUCACCCCAGAACUGGCCCUACUAAACAUCUUCCAAAAUAUUAAUGCCCACUCACACCAUAAAGAGCUCAUAACCCACCUACUCUUGGCAGCCAGAAACAUCAUAGCUAGACACUAGAGAGAUCUGCCAGGAGUAAGCAUGGACCAAUGGUACCAAAUAGUAUGGGAAACAGCCUUAUUAGGAAAAUCUAACCAAUAAACUGAAACUGACACAGGGCCAAAUAGAAGAAGACGCCUUCACCCUGGUUUGGUUCCCCUUUAUCACAAACACAGCCCAACAAGACAACGACAAGAAUCCGCCAACAGCAUACGAAUCAAUAUGGCUAACCUGAUCCAAAAAUACACACACAAAACCAACUCUCACUACAGCCAACCAACUAUCUCACCACCAAGGAAAUACAACAAGUGAAUAGUAAGAGAACCCAUAUAAGUAACGCUGACACAACCCACCCCCCAAGUAGAAGAAUAGAAGCAUAAUCACCCGACUCCACCCCACUCACCAUUCCAUCUCCCCCUCAUCCCCCCUUUUCUUUCUUUCUUUUUCUUUCAUUCUUCUUAAUUGUUUAAACCAAUUCCUGAACCAGGAACCUGUACAUUGACCACUAAAAAUGAAACAUAUGUUGUAGAUACUUUCCCACAUUUAUUAUGCUAUUUUUGUGAUAUACAAAUGACAUGAGAAAACUUGGUAUACUUGUUUGUAUAACAUUAUUCUUGUUUAUAACCCCCUCCCCCAAAAGAAAGGGUACCAGGAGGCAAAUGUUUCCUAGGAGGUUUCCUAUCCAGGCACUGAGUAGGCCCAGACCUACUUAGGUUUAGCAAGGCAAUACCUUCACGUGACUCUGGGGCAGACGUGUCACAUAUAAAGCCUUAAAUUAAAAUGUUAAGUACUAUUGUUUAGCAAAAGAGCAUAAUUCACUUCAGCUCCAUUUGCAGCGCUCCCGCUAUUAUCAAAUGGGCUUUAACGGAGGAGGGAAAAAGCCCAAUGAAUUGCGCCUUUUUGCUUUACAUCUGUAUGCCUCAAGUAAAUGGUUGAUGGACCAUGAGAAUCCUACAUGAAUGAUGAAUUACUAGCUCUGAAACCAACAACUUGUUAGCAAUCACUCCUGUUCCUAAACUCAAAAAUGACUGCCUUUGUGUUUGCCGAUUUAAUGACUAUCCUUCUUGGGAGCACAGUCUGUUGUGCUUUUCCAUACACUGUAUCACCAAAGCAGAAUGAUUAUAUAUAGCACAUAUGUGGGCGAAAAUACCAAGUGUGUGGCGUGGGACACAUUUUCUUCUGAGAAACUGCAGUAUAGCUGUAUCAGCGUCAAAAAAUUCAGGCACAAUAUUUAUGUAUUAGCUGAUGCUUCAUCUAUGUGCAUAUGUGUAUGUUUGGAUAUAAUUAAGUGUUUAAAAAGAAACAAAACUAAAUAGCCGCUAUUAAUAAUGGUUCAUUGG